This 554-nucleotide long non-coding RNA is filed under the name Homo sapiens (human). Its description in RNAcentral is "non-protein coding lnc-KLHL42-4:1". The record is from RNAcentral. Lineage: Eukaryota; Metazoa; Chordata; Mammalia; Primates; Hominidae.
GAUCAGAGAAUCCAUGUUGACCAAAUGUACCAGCACAAAAGUGGAAUUGAAUCUUCUCUAAAAGAGAGCAAGCGAUUUUUUGACAAACUCCAUAAUGAAGUUAAUAGUUAACUGGAGAAAUUUUUAAAAGAAAUUAGUAAGACUUUGGAAAAGAUCAGCCACUGUGAAAAGUACAUCAACCAUCAGCUUGAGCACAGGGUUCAAGAAUAUCCUGCAGCUCAAACCCAGCUGAGUGAUGUAAGGAGCCAGCAAGGAAGUGGUGGAGUAAUUGAAAGGACCAGACUUCUGUCUGAGGCUACAGAAGACAGAACAUGUAAAACUAGAAAUGGAAGAAAAGUGCAGCAGCAUGACUGAUGGUGAUUCUUUGGUUAAGAGGUGGUGAUUCUUUGGUUAAGAUUAAACAGAGCUUAACAAAACUGAAGCAAGAAACUGUUCAGAUGGACAUUAGAAUUGGUGUUGUGGAACACACAUUACUCUAAUCAAAACUGGAGAAACCCAGUGUGACUAAGGACAUACACGUGACCAUUAUUCCAGAAUCAGCAAUAGAUUCAUAU